AUGCAAUCGAAGACCAGGUGAAGAGCUGAUAAGAUGACCAUUAAUCUGUAAUGGCUGCAAAUAGCAGCCUCUCUGGUACUACAUGCAGCCUGUUGCUUGUAUGGACUGGAAACAACCUUCCACAGUU
Erinaceus europaeus (western European hedgehog) is the source of this 127-nucleotide small nucleolar RNA. Its record names the gene SNORA70. It matches the Rfam family "Small nucleolar RNA SNORA70". From Rfam's summary of the family: snoRNA U70 seems to be exclusive to mammals and is a member of the H/ACA class of snoRNA which contain H (ANANNA) and ACA box motifs. H/ACA box snoRNAs are involved in the conversion of uridines to pseudouridines (5-ribosyluracil) a constituent of structural RNAs (transfer, ribosomal, small nuclear, and small nucleolar). NCBI's taxonomy places the organism in Eukaryota, Metazoa, Chordata, Mammalia, Eulipotyphla, Erinaceidae. The record is from Ensembl.